ACGAACGCUGGCGGCAUGCCUAAGACAUGCAAGUCGAACGGUAGAGGGGCAACCCUUGAGAGUGGCGAACGGGUGAGUAAUGCAUCGGAACGUGCCCAGUCGUGGGGGAUAACGCAGCGAAAGCUGUGCUAAUACCGCAUGUGAUCUGUGGAUGAAAGCAGGGGACCGCAAGGCCUUGUGCGAUUGGAGCGGCCGAUGUCAGAUUAGCUAGUUGGUAGGGUAAAAGCCUACCAAGGCGACGAUCUGUAGCUG
RNAcentral lists this ribosomal RNA (252 nucleotides) under uncultured bacterium. RNAcentral describes it as "partial 16S ribosomal RNA". It matches the Rfam family "Bacterial small subunit ribosomal RNA", at positions 29 to 289 of the family's 1533-position model. The record is from RNAcentral.